UACAGAGACUGCAAGCGUUGUUCGGAUUCAUUGGGCGUAAAGGGUGCGCAGGCGGUCGGGCAAGUCGGAUGUGAAAUCCCGCAGCUUAACUGCGGACGGUCAUUCGAAACUGCCCGGCUCGAGGACUGGAGAGGAGACUGGAAUUGUCGGUGUAGCGGUGAAAUGCGUAGAGAUCGACAAGAACACCGGUGGCGAAGGCGAGUCUCUGGACAGUUCCUGACGCUCAGGCACGAAAGCCAGGGGAGCAAACGGG
This 253-nucleotide ribosomal RNA is filed under the name uncultured bacterium. Its description in RNAcentral is "partial 16S ribosomal RNA". It matches the Rfam family "Bacterial small subunit ribosomal RNA", at positions 524 to 776 of the family's 1533-position model. The record is from RNAcentral.